UGGGGGAACCCUGAUCCAGCCAUGCCGCGUGUGUGAAGAAGGCCUUAGGGUUGUAAAGCACUUUCAGUGGGGAAGAAGGCAUGACGAUUAAUACCCGUCAUGAAGGACAUCACCCACAGAAGAAGCACCGGCUAACUCCGUGCCAGCAGCCGCGGUAAUACGGAGGGUGCAAGCGUUAAUCGGAAUUACUGGGCGUAAAGGGCGCGUAGGCGGCUUGCCAAGCCGGAUGUGAAAGCCCCGGGCUCAACCCGGGAACGGCAUUCGGAACUGGCAGGCUAGAGUGCAGGAGAGGAAGGUGGAAUUCCCGGUGUAGCGGUGAAAUGCGUAGAGAUCGGGAGGAAUACCAGUGGCGAAGGCGGCCUUCUGGACUGACACUGACGCUGAGGCGCGAAAGCGUGGGUAGCAAACAGGAUUAGAUACCCUGGUAGUCCACGCCGUAAACGAUGUCGACCAGCCGUUGGACCCCUUGAGGGUUUGGUGGCGCAGUUAACGCAAUAAGUCGACCGCCUGGGGAGUACGGCCGCAAGGCUAAAACUCAAAUGAAUUGACGGGGGCCCGCACAAGCGGUGGAGCAUGUGGUUUAAUUCGAUGCAACGCGAAGAACCUUACCUGCUCUUGACAUCCUGCGAAUCUCCCAGAGAUGGGAGAGUGCCUUCGGGAGCGCAGAGACAGGUGCUGCAUGGCUGUCGUCAGCUCGUGUUGUGAAAUGUUGGGUUAAGUCCCGUAACGAGCGCAACCCCUAUCCCUUUUGCCAGCGGUCCGGCCGGGAACUUCCAGGAGACUGCCGGUGACAAACCGGAGCAAGGUGAGGACGACGUCCAGUCAUCAUGACCCUUA
This 837-nucleotide ribosomal RNA is filed under the name Chromohalobacter sp. YCWA1. RNAcentral describes it as "bacterial SSU rRNA". It matches the Rfam family "Bacterial small subunit ribosomal RNA", at positions 372 to 1204 of the family's 1533-position model. Lineage: Bacteria; Pseudomonadati; Pseudomonadota; Gammaproteobacteria; Oceanospirillales; Halomonadaceae. The record is from RNAcentral.